This is a non-coding RNA of Myotis davidii, 74 nucleotides long. The record is from Rfam. NCBI's taxonomy places the organism in Eukaryota, Metazoa, Chordata, Mammalia, Chiroptera, Vespertilionidae.
GCCAGUGUAGCUCAGUGAGUAAGAGGGUCAGUCCAAGCACUGAAGGGUCAUGGGUUCAAUUCCCAUCACGGGUC